CUGGUUCUUUGAAAAGAAUAGAAAGAGGUAGAAAGGAGGUAGGUGGAUUGAAGAUGGUGGUGAUUCACCACCACACAGAUGCUUCCUACAAACCUGCUUGCAAAAUUCUGCAGUGGUAAGUAAAAUAAAUAUCUGUUUUCUAAAAGGAAAUUGACAACAGAAAAUCAGGGUGCUGUUAGGUUGAGUUGCUGGGCUCUUUGGAUAGAAUUAAGGAAAUUUAAAGCACAUGAGUGUAUGAGAUCCAAAUUUUCCAUUAAAGUUGUAACUGGACGUCUUGCCUGUGUAAUUAGUUUAGAAAUCCAAUAUCCUACCUUUUCAUAAAUCUAACUCAACUUCAACAAAAUUGAUUUUGCAAUGACUGUGCCCCAUGAGGACAUGAAUGAUACAUUCAUUCAUACAAUCCUUAAUUAAAACAUCCCACAAAGUGCCAACAACCCAAUUUUAGAUUUGAUGAGCACAGAAAACCAAAAAAUGAAAGGAAAAAGAAAAGUUUCUGAUCAAUAAAACCUGCAAAGGGAUUGUGACUGUUGGGAUAAUGCUUGGGUAUUUCCCCAAGGGAAGUGAUUAGAAGAAUGUAUUUUGCGUAUUAAGGUUAAGGUACAGCCAUCAGGUUAGAUGCUGACCUUUCGCGGUUGUCCAGAGGACUAAGGAUGAUGGGAGGUAUGGAUAGUCCUGUCCUUUACCCAGUGUUGAUCUAAAGGAUCUAUUUCUUCACCUGGCACAUACAAUGAAAGAGCUACAUAAUUUCUUAUGAACUUUUAGUCCUGCGUUUAAUUUUUAUUUGAAUCCUACGUUUCCGAUUGUCAUAAAAUAGGAAUUGUUAGAUAUAAUUCCACGCUUCAAAUAGGCAGCUGCUGUGAAAUAUUUUCAUCUGCAAGACAUUGCAAAUUGCUUCAUUUAAGGCUAUUUACACUGUCAAGCUAACUCUUCUUUCUUUUUAGUUACACUAAGCAUUACAUUUUUUAGGCUAAUGGAUUGAUUUAUUUUUAUAUAUUGGAAUGGAAAUUAUACAGAGGAGCUUAUCUGCUUCUAUAAGAGUUGCUUGUGAAAGUGCGAUGACAAUGAAUGCUAGCAGUGUAUUUGAAGGGGUUUUGUAGAGCAUUAUAUGAGAAAUUCACAUUAUCUGAGGGAAGCCAAGGACCAUGACUGAAACAACAAGAUAAUUUGUGGUGUAAUCAGAAUUAAGCUAGGUAAAAGAAAAAGUAGUGUGGAAAAUUGAAUGAAGCAGUACUUUCAGGCUUAGAAGGAGCACGUGUCGGAGUAUAUCAAAUGUUGUCACUUUGUUUUAUCCUUCAGCUUUGCGUUCAAUAACUUGUUUCUGAGCUGGAGGCAAGGCAGAGUUUGUGUUUUUUUGCAGCAAGGAUUGCUGUUCAGAAAGUCUGUGUGACAAUCACUGUGUAUUCUUGACCAAAAAAAAACACAACACAUUGAAGCCCAGAGUGUAAACUAAGAGCUCGGCAGUAACAAACUGGGAGAGCAGGAGCUUCAGCCAAUUAGAAUGAGCUGCACAGAGACCUCAUCACAGUAGGGAAACAGAGCAGGAUGCUGUCUACCUUGAGUGGAAAAAGUAAACUGUGGCUCACAGGCAGCAUUUGGAGGAGACACUUCCCUGUCUUAAUAACAUGUAACAAGACAUGUAACAUUCCUUUGGUAUGUCAAUGAGUAUUUGUUAAUUAUAGCGCAAACUAAAAUUGUGGGACUGUGCAAAAUGCAUUUGGUGCUAUGCAACUGCAGAACACGGCAUCUGACAAGAAGACAGCAUCAGUCUUCUGUGAACAGUCAGUUUCCUUUCGCGUGGAACAGGGCAGGGAAAAGCAAAGAGCACCCAGCCUGGAGAGUAGCACCCCAAGAGCCUCUUUGGGAAAGUGAGGAGAGGAAAAGAGCUGCAUUUAAAGGAGAGUCUGCCUCUUACUUCCCCUCUGUGGGGAACAGGGAACUCUAAAGGGAAGGGUUUGGGGUGUUACCUCCCAGGUGUUCUCUCAGCUGUUCUUGGGGCUGUUGAUAGUGUGAGAGAUGGAAAAGGCUGAAGUGGGUCCAGGGAUACGUUUGAUUGGCUCUGUGGUGAUUUAAUCUGCGAGUCUUCCACUCACCAUGCUGGGAAGAAAACUAAGAAUGGUUGGCCUGGGUUAGUGCUAUGGUGGUAGUGGGUUCAUGAAUUGACUGGGUGAUCUUAGUGAUCUUUCCAACCUUAAUGAUUCAAGAUUCUUUGCCCUGCGUUGGGAACCAGCCAGAGGCUGAGCACUCUGAGAGGGCAUAUCUAAGCGUUAAUCAGGUAUGUUGUUGUUGUUUUUUUUUUUUAAUUCAUUCUUAAUGGAAUCCGACAUUUUCAAAUUUUCUGUGUUUUAUACAAGCCUCUAAGAUACAUCACAACUUUAUGUACAUCCUAAUAGUUUUGCAUUUUAACUGGAUUGGUGUCUGUGUGAAAGCAAGCCAAAGCAAUUGAAAAUGCAACAGGCAGGGUUGUGUGACUGCAACUGCACCACAAAGUUCACUAAGAAAUCUCUAUAAAGUAGAAGAAUAAGAUUGCUGUUAAGGGUUGUUUUCCUCUCACUUUUGGUCUCCUUCUGUAGACAUAGACACUUGAGUGAUGCCAGCGGAUUUGUCAUUAUAAGUAAUGCCUUCCCGUCUAUAUAGCACUUAUCUUCCCUGCCACAGCUCAUUGCGUGUUUUCUUAAUUGAAUUUGUAAACCUUCUGGAAUGGUUUCACACAAACACCAGGUGUUGCCGUGCCUCACUUUGAAUGGGGCUGUGCACAUUACUGAGGUGCAUACUAAUAGCAAACAUAAAUCUGAGGUGGCCUUGUAGGGUAAUGAUGUCCUGUGCAUUUGUGCAAAGAGUGCAAAUACUCUUACAUAUAUUCUAGUAUUCCAUGACUUUCAUUGGUUUUUAAUGCCUUCAGGGAGUGCAAAUUGUGAAUUUAAUUUGGGAGUUUUGUAGAAUUGCCAGUCCUUCAUGAGCCUGGUAGUUAUCCUGCAGUUUGGUUGUGUAUGCCCUGCAUGAGGUCCUUCUCACUGCAGUGAUACAGAGUCCUUGGAUCCCUAUUGGUGAGGCCUCAUCUAUGUCCACGACUUGAUACGGGAAAGGCUGAGCCUUCCUGGGGUCCGGAAGCAAGAGAUACAGAGUAUGUGCCGUAUUUAGCCUCACAGACCUUGAAGGAUGGAAAGUAAAAGCAAUCUCAACCACUUCUGGUAACUCCAUGUAGUAUUGCAAUUUUGAUGAAUAAGCAAUGGAGUCAGCUUGAGGACGUAAAAAUAAUUGAGUGAUAAGCAUCCACUUUUUUAGCCAAGAGGUUUUAAAAUCCAUCUGCAGAACUAACUUUGUCAAAUGACAUGUUUCAGCAUCUAUCAGUCUUUGUUCUUCUGCAGCUGCCAUGUUGUGAGUAUGGCACCUGGGAAGGUAAGAGAGCACACUUCGGAAGUGCUGUUGAAGAAAAAGCUUCUCUAUAGAACUGGUGUAGCUGCUGAUUAUGGAUGCUGCACUGCAUUUGCAUUUUGUCCCAAUUAACCUGCCACCUUUUCUAAAAUGAAGCUUGUACAAAUGUUUCCAUGCAUGACUACCAAAUGUCAUUGCGGCUCAGUGCACUCAACAGAGGGUUGGCUGUUUUUCAUCUUCUUUGUUAAGGCAUAAAAUUGAUUACUUAUACAUUAUUAGAGCAAGUUCAUCAAUUUAAUGCUAUAAUAAAAUUGUGGUUGAAUGUAUUUUAAAGUGUUGUAUGUGAAAAAAAUGUAUGUAGUUGGACAUUGUUGAAUUGUAGGAACUGGGCAGAGAGCAAAACUAGAAGCUGCUCAAGGCAUUUAAUGACUGUGUUAACAUUCCUGGUAGUAAACGACAAGGUAAUUUAGGGGGGAAAAUAAGCCAACAAAAGUGGUUUAAGCAAUUAUAAUAAUGUCAUAAAGUGAAAAAAAUAAAAAAACACAUCCAAAUGGAGGAUAGGUACAUCUCAGAGUAUCCAAGUAAACUGGUUACUCAGAUUAUCAGUGUCUCUUUAAGUAUCUCUAAUUAUGUAGUAUAAUAUAGGAAUUGGCAUAUGUAACUGUUCAAAGCUAUGCAGAGAAAUAUAAACUCAGUUGGACAGUGAAGGAAUGUAUUUACAGGUGUUGAAGGUGCCAUGGCUACAGAAUAUAUUAACAGAGCUGAGAAAAAAAACCACAAGGAUUUAGUUGCUGUUUUUUCCACAGUUGCUUCUCUGUAACAAAUUUGUGCUGUGCCUAAAUUACUAGAGAGGAAAUUAUGGAGUGGAUGGUUGUACUUGGCUUAGUAAUGCAUUAAUAAAACUAGCAUUUGUUGGAUUAAUAGUAAUGCAUUAAUAAAACUAGAAUUGGUUGGAUGAUCACACAGUGAGGCUGAUCAGUAAGGUGCCAAGAGCUGGUGAUCCAGUUCUGCUACUGUGUUGCGAUGCCUCUGGAUGAAAAGAUGUUGGUGCUUCCAUGUGAUAAUGUCUGCUGUAUUUGGAUGUGCCUGCUCGGUGUCUUGGUUUUCCGGAGAACUCUGGGAUUUCGGUGUAGAAGACAGGACUUGCUCAGGCAGAGGCAGUGAAAUUGGAAGGGUAUCUUUUAUUUUGAAGUUUUUGCUCUGAGGAAAUACCUGUACUGAACAUGAGCCUGAGGACUGAAAGUAAGUCAUGCUGGAUUUUAGAAAAACAGAUUCCAGAUCAUAUGUUCACACAUGGAUGAAAAGGUCAAGUGGCCAGACAUCUGGUGUACAAAUCCAUGUCUGUUAGUCACUGAGCUUUCAAAUGGCAAUCUGUUGAAAGGCUGCAAGAAGAGUAGCAAGUCAACAGGAGUCAGUGGCAGCAUUUGGGAGUCGGAACUUGAUACUCUGGUGUGGGUACCCAAUCUCUGGAUUAAAGCUGGAGCCUGGGAUAGGGGAUUCCAAGGCAUUAAGUAAAAAAAGCAAAAAAAAAAAAAAAAAAAAAAAAAAGCCAACAGAGCUCACUGUUAAUCAGAUCAUUAAUGUUAACGUUUCUCAAUAUGAUUGCACUCAAAACACAUUCAUGCAAAAAUUAUCCCUUCCUCACUGAUUGCCUUGACAUCUUGGCAGUUGCGUUUCUGCAUGUUAAUAACAGCUAUGUCUCCUUUCUGAGUCUCCUCUUCAGCAAGACAGCAAAAUUUAGCGAGGGAAAAGAGUUAUAUGCAAAUCCUUGUCCUCCCAUUCCUCUGUUAAUUUCACUGAGCAUUGUGCCCACGUGUUCUGCUGGGAUGGUCAGCUGCAGCCCAGGUCUACGCUGGUGGUUCAGUAAGCCUGAGUCCUGCUGCACGGCACUAUGGGAAGUCUUGUAGCAGCUUUGAGGAUAAAUGUGCAGCCAGUCAGUAUGUUUCCUUUGCCUUCAGUGGGUUUAUAUCAGGCUUCUCCUGCUCUAAAAAUAACCCCAUCUACCUGCUAUAUGUUUUUCCCCAAAGUCUGAAUGUGCCAGAGAUGGCAGAGGUUUGGGAUUUUACUGUGCCGCACUUGAGUGGAACCUGGACAAACUUGGAUGGGGAUUUUGGAUGUUGAUGGGCACUAUAUUGUUCAUUCCUACUGGAAAUGCUUGAUGUGAGACUCAUAGGUUUUCACGUGGCUCAUUCCCUUUGGAGUGGGGAAGACCUACUGUAUGCUGUGCGUGCUCUUUCUACCAGAAUGAAAAUAGAGUGGGAAUACCUUUUUCAUUUACCUAAUUGCAAAUAAACUCUCUGUAGUUGAAUGGUAAGGGUUCAAGCCUACAUUUGAAACAGGCUGCCCAGGGAGGUGGUGGAGUCACCAUCCCAGGAGGUGUUCAAGAACCGUAGAGAUGUGGCACUGAGGUACAUGGUUAGUGGGCAUGGGGUUGGGGUUGGACUUUAAUUGAAUCUUUAACUGUCUUUUCCAACCUUAAAGAUUCUGUGAUUCUGUGACAAGGGUACUGUAUCCAGUGAACUGGAAAACAUAGCUAGCUCAGCAUGGAAGAGCAGAGAGUUUACAAUACAUAGAUGCGAAUCUCACGUUUAUUUUUGACGUUUUACAUCAUAAACCUCUGAGAACCUGACCACUUGGACUUCUAUUUGGCCACCUACAAAGCAAAUCCUAGACACUCAGUGCUGUUAGAAAGCUCACCCAUAAAUAAAUAAAUAAGAGUAAUUUAUUUACCUUAAAUACUUAGGGGUAUGUAAAUUCACCAGAGCUACUUAAGCUGUACUGACAGUUUUUGUUGGGACAGGGGCAAAGAGAUCAAGCAAAAUAGACUGUCAGUACUCUAUGCAUGGUUAAAUAAUUAACUGUAUUGAUUCCUUGAGCAUUUAUUUUCAGCAGAAGUGUGGAGUGUUACCGCUGCUGACUCUGUUUUAUCAAGGUGUGGGAUUAAGGAGGAGGCAAAGCAUCCCACUGCUUUGCUGUUCCCAGCUGAACACCUCCUCAUGGAUGGCUGGUGAAACUGGGAUGUAGGGUGGAUGUGAAACACUGAGGUUUUCUCCUGAUUGAUGAGAAGCCAUCUUCACUGAACACUGUGUGGAACAGCAAACAUCUGACAGGAGAUCACAAGGAAGAAUAAACAGAUAUCAUGGAAAAGAUAGGGUUGCUAUCACCUAUCUGGUGUGGAAUGACAUGCGAUAUCAGGAGGUGAGACUGCACUGAAGGGGAUAUUUGCUGUCUGUGACAUACUGGACAUGUGGCUGAUAUUGUGCUUCAAAUGUCUGUACAGUUGACAGGAAAGACGUAGCUCUAGAACAGAGAUUGUCCCUGAUCUGGCAGAGAAAUUGUCAUAGUUCAUCUGCAGCAUCUUAGCACGUGAAGUAACAUGAAGUACCUGUCCUAUUCUGGGCAGGCGGAGGAUUUAGCUGUUAUUUCUGAGGAUGGUUUAGAAUGAGAAGAAGUGUCUGUUGCAACGCACAACAUGAGUUUUGGUGGAAGAUGCUGCUGUCAAAGGGAAAAGUUCAGGAAUUCACAGAGUAAUGUUGUUUAAACUCUUAUGUGCAUUCGACUGUUUAUUUCUGAAGUAUCCCUAAGUUUUAUUGUCUCACAGCAGAGGAAAAAAAGGAGAAGAUUCUCACUCAAGAAGGUAAAAAUUUAUAAAAUCUCUCCUUCUCAGUGCUUGCUGUAAAUUUCACAGUUAUGCAUAUUUUGUCACAUCCUCCCUAAUUUAGCGGUUGGUGGCUGCCAGCUGUUGGGGACUUAGUGAAUAAUACAUAGAAAUAAGAGUUCCAGAGGAAUAUAAAUUCCCUGUUCCCUAGGAAGAUCCAAGUACUGCUCACAGUCUUUUAACUCAUGCUCAAUAUUUUUCACCAAUUUUCUUUUCCCUUCCUGGAUGGUUAAUGGAAAUAAAGGAAAAUCAAAGUAUAGCGUUCAGCCAUGAGCCCUGAAAUACGAUUUUGACUGCUCACUGGAGGUAAGUGCAAAUGUGCUUGCUGAAGGAACCUGGCCCAAGAGGUAUGAUACGUAAGCAUAGCCAUGAGGAUGAAUUUGUGCAUUUAAAUGUAGAAUGUACAUAACUGUAAGCAAAGCUUGGUCACUCAGGAGUUCCUGGUAAACAAACACCCAUAUGUUGUCCAGAAUUGAUUUGCAUAUUCAGGAACAGAUCGAUGAGUGACAUUUUACAUUUUCCUCACCUCUAGGACUGAAAAAAAAAUCUGGCUGUGACGUAAAUGUAGAAUGAAGCAUAUUUAGAGAGUGCAGCAUCAUCUAUGCUUCGGAAUUUGUCUGUCAGGCCCAGGAGACCACCACAGCUCUCCUAUGGGGACUGGUGUCAGGUAAAGUGGUGGCACAAAGGGCUGCAGGUGUUCCAGAAGCACAGGCUAUUUCCAACAGGAUAAAUCUUCUGUGAUGUGAAGUCACCAUGCCGUGCACUGACUCAAGAAGAAUAAGACAGAGGGAGAAUCUGCUGUAGCAUUCCAAAUGCAAACCACCAGUAAAUGCUGACUGGUUUAGACUGCAGUAUGUGAUGUCACACGCAUAACAGAGAAACAUGAGGGUUCCAGUGUUCAAUUAAGAUAUACAGAUAAGUAAGUCUUUAUCACUUUGCAAAAAUUAACCAUUUUGUCCCCAUUUUACCCGAUUUCAACUUCAAUCUUCUUAUUUGUUUCAAUUUUAAUCAGAAGAAAAUGGAGACAUUAAAAAAUCAACUCAUUAAAUAAGCGCCCAUCUUAAGCAGAGCAAUAGACAAAUGGCAUUCUUUCCACAAUACAUUUCAAGUUGUAUUGACAGUACUGCGGUAUAGAGGAAAACUUGGGAAAUAAUAGUGUCCAUCUAGUGAUUCUCAGUCUGAACGAGGAAAGUUGGAAAGAGAAUCAGUGUGAGAGGAAAAAGUAAUAAAUACUAGAUCACAUACAUCCAGAAAUGUGUCAGGUUCAUAUUUCCACUUUUGCCAAGGCCUGAUUUAUAAUGCAAGAUCUGCCACUCAAUCACAUGAUAAAGGUAAAUGCAUCUAUAUAUAAAAAUGCAUACCUAUAUCUAUCGAUUUAUCCAUCAGUGGAUUUGAGAUCAUUGAUUGCUUCAUGGUUGUUAUCAAAAGAAAUCCAGCUAAAGGUGGACCACAGUACAUUAAUCAUUCAAGCUCAGGUACAGAUCAAUAUGUUGUGCAACACUUUCAUCUUUUCCUUAGAAAUAAUGUUCAGAUAUCUCCCAGCCUGCCUGAUGUCUGCAAAAUCUCCUAAGAUACUAGUAAAGAUUUGUCUUGGUCCAUUUUGAUUUCAGUGCACAAUGGACAGUAUAACAAUAUUAUCCAUUGACAACACUGUAUGAAGUGUUUGCUUAUUAUUUAUGUAUGGACAGCUGUGAAAGCAGUGAUAAAGCUCCAGCAGCCCAAGACUGUUGUGUAGGACCACACGGUGCUCCCAAGGAUGCAGGCUACAUCUGAUUUUAUCGUGUUUGUAACUCCCGUGAGGAGUCUGGAAAUUGUGAAAUGAUUAAUAAACAUGGGUUGAAGCUUGAAACUUUAAAAUUCAAGUUACCUUCUUUUUCCCCACAGAUACUGUGGGGAAAAUCCAAGAGCACUUAAAGAGCUCCAUGUAUAACAUUGUGUUUACUGGUACUGAUAAUGCCAUGUGGGACCAGAGCUAUUUGGCAUGCCUGAAAAUCAAAUCCAAGGUACUGAUUACCCUCAGACUCUUUAGCAGACCUGCACCUUCAUGGCCUCUUCACAUUAGUUGAUUUGUUUUGGUGUUGUUUUUUAACAUAUAACAGACAUGAGAGUUGAAGAAACAGCAGACAGGAAACAGGAAAAUAAAACUGAAAUAUGCAGCUAUUCUCUCAUGUUAAAAAAUAAAUAUUUGUAAUGAAAAGUUAUGCCAUACAUUUUCCCAGAUUCAAGGCAUUAUAUCAGAUCAAAAUGAGAAUGAACCCACUUCUAUUCUUUGUUACCCUCCUGGACGGAAUGAUUCCUUACCUUGUCAGUUUUAGUGUGCAACCUCUCACCAGGCAAGUCCCUGCCAGCACCCCAUACCCAUUACUUCAGAUAUAAGCCUCAUUUCCAGACUUCUUUUUACACUUUCUACCUACCUUGGGGAGGAUGCUUUCCCCAGCAUUGCCUUUCAAUGAGAAGCUCACUCAAUUACCGUGGUGCAUCUUCUUGAAAUCUCCAGCAUCACAGCUCAGCCCAGCAGUAGCAAACAUCUGUCAGGUUCCUCUUUGAAACUCUACUGUGCUGAGAAGCCAAAGAAGCCUUUAGCUGGGAAAGUUGAUCGAUAGUACAGCUUUUCCCUUUUUUCGCUCUGCAACUUUUUAAUCUGCUCUGUAUAGUAACAGGCAGCCCCUGGUCCUGGCAAUGCCUAAGGAGCGCAAAUAAUUCAGUAAUAUAAAUACCAACGAUACACGUAAUAAACUUAACCCAGCCAAAAAUAAAUGCAAGAAGUGGGCAGAUGGAAAGAAGGGAAGAGCUCAUGAGAUUUUCACAUAUCCGGAAGUCAUUUCAAAAUGUCUUGCUUUAAAUUAUUUGUUCUGCAUGAUAUACUAUGCGCUCGAGUAGCAACUAAUCCAGUAUGGAUGGGUUUCAUGACAAAUUCACACUGAACUAUUAAAAAUUUUUCUAUUAAAAAUCAUUACUGUAAAUACCUCACAGUGGGCAAACUCUUUGAUUUCUUAAUCUUGUUACAAGUGCACUCUUAGAAAAGUCCUCUCUUGGUAUUAAGUAUUGAUUUCAAUGCUCCAUUUGAAGAAGAUGGAUCCAAAAUAUGUCAAAGUGCCAUAUUUUCUAGAAAUAAUGGAGAAUGUUCUUUGACUAAAAUUAUUCUUUCAUUGCUCUGUCAUUACUCUCUUUUAUAUGUGCCCCAUGGCACCUACUGUCAAACAAAUAAGGCCAUUCACUCCUUCCUUAAUUGUAAAUUUGUAAAAGAUAAUUUAUUUUUAUUACUGUUUAAGCAAGGAGAAUUUAUAGCGUGUAUCCCCCUCACCAUCCCCAAAGCACACUUAGCCCCGAAGGUAAAAUAACUUAAAAUGAGUAUGAAAAUUGAAUUAAAUCAAUAUGUUUUUAUUCUGCUCUGGAUCUUUUUCCACUGUUGUACAAUUAAAAUUCUAUGAGGAAUAUAAUAUUGAAGAAAUAAAUCUUUCAGUGUUUACUCAGACUAGAUUCAAAGAAAUAAAUCAUGAAGAAAAAGGUGAAGCAUCUUCCAAUGAGUGCGUAAGGGAAGUGGUGAAUGGAACAGAACUUCUUAUUCUGUCUCUAGUUACCUGGGAUAAGAGGCCAGUCCCUCCAGUUGUGGUUGUCCUUGGUCUAUUAGUUUGACUUUGAUCCACGAUUCUGAAAGAAUAAUUAAAAACAUGAAGGUAAAUGGCAAAUAGAAGGGCAACAGAACUGAAUGGAAAGAGAUAAAAUCAAAUGAACUUAAAUCUGUUUUCGACACAUUAAUUGAAGCAAAUGCAGUAAUUCAUCUGCAUCUGAAUUUCAUGGAGCAUUCGAUGUGAACCUACAUGAUGGUUUAAAAUAACAUGCUAAUAAUAUGGGAAUUAGCUAAAAAUAAAAGUAAUAUGAAGAAUAGCAAAAUGUGAGGCAUCAAAGGGGAAGUAUCAGAUGAGAGGAGUGGUUGAAACUGAGCUUGUCAAGGACUGUUUUUGUAAUGACCUAGUUAUAAUGUGUAUUAUAUUUUUAAUAAUCUAUAUUUACUCCACCAGCACAAAAUAAGAGUACAUCUGAGAUCUGCUGAGGCACUGUCAGUGCUGACAGCAAUCAAUGUGCUAAUCGGACUGUGUAAAAUUACACAGCCUUGAGGAAUGGGAUUAUAGAUUUGGGGAGUAAAGUAGAAGUUAAGCAGAUGCUGAUCAACAGUACAUACUUCUGCUGCAAAAUGAGACUUUAUCAGUUAAAAAUGACAAAGUGAUAAAGAUCUGUGAACACUAGCUCAAGGAAGGUCUGCCUUAUUAGCAGAUUAUAGGAUGACACUAAGCCUUAACUUCAUCAGCCAUGAAGAUGUCACCUUCCAGGAGAUAAAGUGACAGAGAACAUGGGUGAUACAUCCCAUCAUCUGCAACUCAGGCUGUGUAAAGGUGAGCUUACAAGGGAUAUAACAAAGAUAUUAGAAUGAUCUGAGGAAUGAAGAACUCAUCUGAAAAGACAGGAGGGCCUCCGUCCAUUCCUCCACAGGUUUAGCUUAGGAAAGCUAAAAGCAAAGAAGAUAUGUUUACUGCCUGUAGAAACAGCUGACAUAAACAUUAAAAAAAAAUAAAAUAAAUGCAAACACUACUUAAAAUUAAAAAAAUAAUAAUAACACUAGUAAAAAUUAACAUAAAUGUAAUCUUUCAUACUGUUUUUAACCUGGAAAUUAGUAAAAGUAAAAACACCUAUCAAAGAUGAAAGACUCUUUCAUGGGCUUGCUGUUGGGGGAAAAAUAAAAAGCACCACUGUAAAGUAGAAAAGAGACUGUUAGAGAUGUUUAUAAAAAGGAUUAUAUCACGUGGUUGUCUGGAUUUAGGGAUUUAAGAAGCCUGUGUUUGCCCUGAACAUCACAAGAAAGACCUAUGAAAUGGAUGUGCUAUAUAAUCCACCUGCUGAUCAGAUCACUGAAUUUGUCCUAGGACUGAAAAGCCACAUGUUUCUUUUUUAUUUUAAAGGAUCUCUACACAUAUGGAACAUCCCAGAAAAGCACAGAACAGAUAGCUGCUAUCUGCAGAAUGCUGAGAGUUAUUGAUUGUUUCAUUAUUGGUGAGUAAAUGAGGUGAUAGAAUAAUUUUUGUCUACAAACUACAAAAUAUUAAUUUAUUUUCUAGGAAAAAACAGUAUUUGGGUUUAGAAAAUGCAUUUGUUUUUUUAUUGCAACAAAAGCAAAAUACAGAAAACAUGGAGGAUGGUUUUUCAGUUGUUUUGUUUUAGGAGUUUGAUUGCUUAUUUAUGGCGAGGUUUAGAAGGCAGUGGCUGUUCAAACAAUUGGCACAUCUCCAAUAAAAUAUUUCAAGAAUAAGUGUACAACACUAAAACUUUCAUCUCGGUAAUCAAAUAUAAUCAUGACUUACAUUACACAGUUUGCAAUUAUUGGCCUAAAUAUUCAUUAAAGAUCCACCUAAACAUAAAUAUGCUGCACACAAGUUGGCACCAGCAGCAGCUGGGAUGCUUUGUUUCAGUCCUUAGAGGUCAUAGGCUUAAUCACUGCAUUCCUGUUUCCACUGUUGCAGAUUAACUUGAUUUACAGGAAUUCUGUUUAUAUACACAAUAUGACAUUGUCCAGCAAUUUACAGCUGAGAGGUGGUUGUAUGGGCCAUGAUUAAAAGGGUAGCACUAUAGGAAUGUCUUGCCCAUAUCUCCAUGGACUUCAUUCAAAUAAGCUGAAUGAAUAAUUCUUAUCAAUAAAAGUAUUUAACAACUGUGAAUAAAAGAGACUUUACAAACUGCAGAAAAAUGUCAGCCAUGGAGCACUAUGGAUUCAGUUUUAGGGCUGAUUCAGUGAUUACCAUGGCCAAGCAGUGGCGCCAGGUAAGACCAAACAGAACACACUAUUCUUGUGCAGGUGAUUACCUUCCAUUAUUAUAUGAUGAAAAGCAGAAUUGCUCUCAGUUCUUACCUACUGGUUUACUGUGAAUUCAAAGAAAUUGCUUCACCUUUUCAUUAUUUUUCUUCUGUCUGUAUGAAAUGAAAUUAAAGUUAUAAUUUACAAUUGUCUAGCUGAGCCAAUGAAGAGCAGUGAAAUCACCGGUGCAAUUAUUUUCAACAGAGCUGUGUCAGAUGUCCCACAUUUUAUUUAUUUUCCUAAGCAUCAACAAAAUCCCCCUUUCUGACAUAGCUGCUCUUUAAUCAGAAUAAUCCCAAUUAUGUUGUCCAUGGAAUGGAGCAACAGAGAUCUAAACUCUUUUUUUUUUUUUUUUUUUUCCCCCAAUAAAGCAACUCAUCUUCACAUCAUUAUAAGCUGACAUUCCAAAAUAGACUGCAUAGAAUUUUGAGGGUUGAAAGAUAUCAUUCCAGUGUGAAGCAUUUUCAUAUUGUAAUUUAUCCCAUUAAAAAUCCUGUUAUUAAAAAUAAUCGGAAAAAGGAAUAAAUAAAUAAAUCAAGCACAUGCUUUCCACUUACCUUGCCAGUAGACAGUAUAUAAAUAAUCAAGUUUUAAACUUAUAGUUUCUUAGCAAUUCUGAACAGACCUAAAAUGCCAAAACAGGUAAUUCUUAGGAAUAACCAGAACAGCAACUUCAAAACAGUGACGUUAUUGCCGACAGUCACAGAGCAUGGAGUUGAGAUGAACUCUGAAGUCUGUUCGCUGUAACAGUGCACUUGACAUCUUUUUCCCCUGUAAAUCUGGCAAUAGGAUAUAUUACAUUACUUACUAAAGUUUAUAGAAACAGGCAGAAUGAAGGAGAAUUUAUCACAAAACCUUAUAUAACAAGCCUUAAAGAAUUCACGAUUUCACUAGUAAAUUGCUGUUUCAGUGGAAGUAUCUCAGACCUCUGAGAAAUUUAAAUAGCACAGAUUUCUGAGGGGCUCAUAAUGCCUUCAGACACUUAGACUGAUAAGUGUAUAAGCCAAUAGUUUAAAAUCAGAUAAUCAGCUGUUGACUUCAAAUAAGACACCAAGUGCAGGCUGGCUUUUACUGUGGCAUAUAGCAGCAGUAUUUCCAAGAACAAGCAGUUCUUGUAGGAUCAGUAUUUUCAGCCUUCAUUUCACUUGCUUCUCGUUGCUCAACAGUAUUCAUUCCAUCCUCCAUUACCUGCUAAUAUUCAGCACCUCUCUGGACAAGUCCAGGAUGCAAAAUGAGCGGGGACUUCAUUAUGGCAUUAGCUGGAAAAUUUACUUAUCAAAAAUCAAAUCAACAAAAAAGACAAAGAAAGGUCAUCUACUCUGUUUGGGAAGGACUGCUAUAAAUGUUAAAUGACGAGAACUUUUGUCUACAAGCAUAACUUAUUUAUUUUUACAUUAAAAUCAACUGCAUAUAAUUGACUAUCAACGCACCUAUUUGGAUCAGUAGCCCCUUCCACACUAAAUUACAGAGGACAACUGCCAGCCUGGCAAUCUGCAAUCUUUAACGUUUCACUGUUUUUUAAUUUCUCUAUUUUAACAGGUGACAGCAAUCUCAAAUCAAUACAAAGAGAUGCUUUUCUCCUAAUCAUCAAUCCUCUUCAUGUAUCAGUAGCCAGGUGUCACAACAGCCAGUGAGGCAGGUCGGACAUGGGAAGCUGCUGGAAAAAGAAGAGAGAAUUAUGAACAACUUAGUAAAGAUCACAGAGCAGAUUGGAAUAUCCUUCCUUGCACUUGCUUUCUUUGUUGUGAACAAGCACAGUGUAACAAACACUGUUCUGGAUUAACAAUUUAAAUAAUAAUAAUAAUAAUAAAUGAAGAGCUCAGUUAAAAAUUGAGUUCCUUAUUUUAUUUUUAUUUUUAAAAUGGCGAUUCUUUUUAUUCAGUAAACGCAAGUAAAAUCUGAAAAGCAUGAGUUGGAGUUGGACACCCACAGAUUUGUUGAUAUCUGGCUACUUGUAUGCAUUCAUACCUUAGAAAUUAGCAAAGUAUUUUAUUAAUGCUUACCUUUAGAAGACAGGAACUUUAAAAGACUUAAACAACUGUGAUUCCUAUUUCCACACCUUUCCCAGCUGGAAUUUUUAUGAAGGUUACAACCAAAAUAACCCUCUUUCUUGAAGCAUCUGACAAAAACAGAAGCAGAUUGAUUGAUGUAAUGGACACAUUAAUGACAGAUCAUUAAUUGCUCUCACUUCAUAUUAAUUACUAUAUAAUAUACAGUCAGAUAUGCUUUGAUAUUAAAACAUUGUGGAGAAAAUUCAAAACUUAUUAACUCUUUCUCAUCUUUCAUCUUGAAAUCAAUAUAUUUCAAAUUCCAACUAACAGCUUUUACAAUCAUCGUUUAAAGAAAAUACAUUUAGGUUGCUCUUCUUUUGUCUAAGAUCUUACUUUCUUGAAGGACACGCACUUUUUUCUUCUACUUUCUUAUUUUUCUUUCCUUCUUUCAACUCUCCAUUAAAAGCUGACUUUUUUCCCGUUUCUCCAAAUAUGAAAAUUUUAACUAUAUGAAAGUUUUAACUAUGUUUUACUAUCUUAUUUUUAGUGUAUUUCACUGAUUCAUAAUGCUGUAAUCUUCUUCUUUUUCUCCUUCCAGUAUCUGGCAGUACUCCUCUUCCUUCAUCUAUCAAAGCAGCCUGAAUUAUUGAGGCUCUCUUUCAAAUUUUGCCUUUUUUUCUGUCAGACCUAGUUUUUGUUGCCAAUGUUUGUUGUUUUUUUCCCCCCCCCCCACUGUUUCCAGCUGGACAGGGUUACAGAUCAACAGUUAUUAACUUGGUACAAGUCUGAAAGUGAAUUAGCAACCAUUGCUUUUUUGCACUAAAGAACCUGUUGUUCUGAUUGGUCUCAUUAAGUCUUAAAUCUUUUUGCACAUCAGAUUUUUGGAAGGGAAGUGAUUAAAAAAAAACUUCCCUCAUACUCAGCUGGGAUCUUUCUUCAGAUGUUUGGCAUCCGUAUUACUGAUGUAGGAAACUAAAAGGUAACUUAUUCUUCCAGCAGACAUUAAAAUUAACUCUCUUUUAUUGCUCUAGUUGGAGAAUGUCUCUCCAAAAAGUCUUAAGACUUUCAACAAGUAAUCUCAAGCAGCUCAAAUAAACAAAACAUACUCUUUCCACACCAGUCACUUCUGUUGGUAUUAUCACAAUUGCACUGAGAAGUCUGUUCCAGCCCAAGGUUAUUGCCAAGCAUGUUAUAGAGCAAGCACAGAAGGAAGUCUGAAGAGAGGGAUUAUAGUUCUAUUGUUAGCAAAUUGCAUUUCCUGGUACCAUUAAAAAUAAUUUAUCUAUCAUUUUUUGUUCUCAGCAAUUGCCAGAUGAGAUGAGCAUCUCAUCUUUAUGAGGUGCUCACUAGGAGUACUGCCUUACAAUCAUGCCCAAGGCCAUUUCAAUACCACAUAAAGAGCAAUGUUACACAAGGUGUUCAACCCAGAAUUGCAGGUAAUGAGCACUUAAUAAAUCCACUUCUUUUUUAUAGUGAAAAGGCUUAAUGAAAGAAAUUAAGUUUCUUAAAACCAGACAAUGGUCCAGCGGUUUGGUUGAGCAGGACAAAUGAUGGUCAAACACCAUUUUAGCACUCCAAUUGAGGCUGCUGUAAAAUACAGCUCCUGAGAUGCACAAGAUCUGGUUCAGUGUCACUGCUGUUAUGCCCAAAAGGAAACUCCGUGGAGAAGAAAACAGUACCAAAGAGCCUUUCAGAAUUCAAGAAUUGGGCCUCUAAAAUAGUUUUGUAUAGAAUUAUAAAUCCAAACACUUUUUUUAAUAUCACAGUGUUUUUUGAGCUUUACUGGAACAGCCAGAUCUAAUCUAUGCACUCACACAUACGUGACAUAUAGGUUAAAUUAACUGAAAUUAUUCAGUUGAUCAAGCAAAAAUUUUGUCCAAAAAAUGAAAUAAAAACCCCAGAGGGUAAAAACACAGCAAGAGCAUUGGAAAGGGUACCUGGAAAUUUUAGCCACAGAAAUAAAUGUACAUCUUUGUUUUGACAGUUCCAUUGAUGGCAAAAUCUGAUUGCUAAAAAUUAUUGUAAAGCAGACUAACUGGAAUGAAAAGUGAGAUUUCUGACUGAUUUACUAGCUGCUUAAAAGAGUAGAAAAUGCUGACUGCUAUGAUAAAGCUCUGCUAACCAUUUUUGUACAGUUCUCCCAGAUGGCAGUACACAUAUUCUAGUUUAAUAGCUGGAAAAUGUAUGUAGUAACUAUCAGUUACUAUCAGUUAUUCUCUAAAACAGAUUUUUAGGGCUUUACCUAUCAUUUUAAAAAGAUACGUCUGAGGAUUCUUCACUAUGAUUUCCAAAUGAAGCACUUCAUCAAAGCCAUAACAUUGUUCUAGCUUACUCACAUCUGUUCAGGGCCAGUCCUAUCCUCCAUCUCCUAUGCUUCUCUAUUCACUGCAGGACAAAUUCAUGUAUCUUUCUAGCACAGACAAACAGUUUCUCUGCAAUACAGGAAUGAAAAUGGGAUGUUAAAAACAUCAUCUUCAGAUAAUUAGAUAAUAAAACAGCUAAUUCAUAACAAAAUACAGUAGUAAGAUUGAUACUAGUUUGUGUUUACCCCUAGAACCAGAAGCAAUUUCUACUGGUUCCUCCAUAAUUUAAAGCACACUGUUUUAAAGCUGUAUCAGUCCUGACAUGGAUUUUGGAUGGAUUCCAUAACAAGCAAAAAUGCAUCUUUGAACUUGCAGGUGUUAAGAUCACAUCUUAAGAGCUGCUCAGAUGGCAUCGGAGAACAAGGCUGGCCUCUUCAAUAUGCCGCUGCAUCAGCCCAUUAUAGAUGCCAACACAAAAUCGGUUUGAGUUUUUUUGUUAGUAAACAUCAAAUAAGACAUUUGUGGAGACAGUAUGCAAUAACUCUGUCACUGUAGUUAAUGCAGUUCCCAUCCAGCUCACGGUGUUUUUACGACCGUAUUCUGCUCCAGUAAUGAAAAAGAGUGGGUCCAUAAAAGAGACAAAGCCAGGUCUGAAAGGCUGAAAAGCAGAACCGUAAAGAAAGUAAAGAGCUGUCAAAAACAAGUCCCUUCAGCAAACUGCACCAAUGCAAUAUGAUGCCUGCACCAUCUACAAUGUAUACGUACUAUGCACAAUGUAUAUACAUCAUGUACAGAAUAUAGACCAUAUUCAGUAUCAACAUGGCAAGAUUCCUUGCUUUGAACUUGACCCUCUCUACAGUGAGCUCAGCUAAGCUCCACAGUGAGCUCAGUGAAGUUUUACUCUUGACUUCAGUGAGGAAGGAGUUGGUUAUUUCUCUGGAUUGGUAACAGCAGCCAAAAGAGGUGAUUCCAGUCAAAACAGGGGAUUAUCUCACCAUACCAAACAGUGGUGCAGUCUCAGCUUGAAUACUGGAUGCAGUUUUGGAAUCCACAAAAUAAAAAGGUUGAGAAUAUGCCUGAAAGCAUCCAAAGGAGGGAAGCAAAGCUAGUAGAAGGGUUGGAAGGCUGUUUCCCAUAAAAUAAAAUUUGAUUGAAAAAACAAAAAACAAAAAACAGGAUUUGGAAGCAUUUCAGCAAUGUUUAUAUUUUCAUAUGUUAGAGCAGCACUGGAAAAUAGAACCUUGAAUAUGUUUCAAAGUCUAUUCUGAUAACGUAAAACAGAAGUGAUUUUAGUCUACAUUUGGAGAUAUUUUGGCACUCAGAUUCUGUAGAGCUGAUUUUCCUUAACUGUUCUCUAAUUAAUUUAACAAAAAUUUCUUGCUCAUUCUCUUAUUCUAUACAACUUUUUAUUAUUAUUAGUAGUAAAGCAGUGCUUUUUAUCUCUACACAUGCCUGUGUAGUAGAAAUGUGUUAUUUAGAAUUAUAGUUCUUUGCCUUAUAGCCUUUUUAUUUUAUGUUACAUGGUAACUGCUUCAGAGAAAUGGUAACUAGAUGAUAAUGUAUCACACAUCAUUAUAAUGUCCUCUGAUAAUUACAAUACUCAUGCUUUUUUAAUUAAAAGCAAAUAAUCCAGUCUAAUAGUCAGAUAAGUCUAUAGAUUCAUUUCAGGAAUCUAAGGCGAGCUUUAAGCCAAAACGAUAUUUUGUAAGUAUCAGGUGCUAAAAACCACUUCUAUAAAACAAGAAAUAAAUGACUUGCUAGUAUAUAAUUUAUGAAGAAAAUAAGCUAAAACAAAUGAGUUCUCUUAUCCCAUUUUGCUUUGUCAGCAACAUUAUGGGAUGAGAGCACAGCUACCAUUUAUGAAAAGCACAGCCUCUGAAAAUACAUUUGAUGUCUUUUGAUUUUAAACUCUCACCCCAGAUCAUGCGUAAUUCUUUGAGCAAUCACUGUUUUUACAUCAAUAAAAAAACAGAUAUAAGAUUUUAUGUAUGCCAUUUUGACUUAUGGAUGGCGCAAUAAGAUCAGUUGAGCCUUACCACAUACUUUAUUGUCUGCUUUGAAAUGAAUAUCUGCAUAAUUGGGAAAGCAAAAAUCUUUGGUAAAAGAAUUUAUGAAUUGAAUAAAACUCUCUUCUGCAACAUGGAUUUCUAUGAGGUGAGUUUUUUUUUUUCUUCUUUUCAGUUGAAAAGUAUCAAGAGUUAUGAUGCGUAUCCAUAUGUAUUUCUUCCAAGAAGUGUUCCUUCUUUUUGUAUUUAAUACUGAAACUUUCUCUUGACUCCAUUUUACUAAGCACUCAGUAUUUAAAAAUAGACUGCAUCUCUUGUAGUCUGAUACUUGCCCUUGUCAUGCCCUUUAACUGUUUCAUUGCCAGAUUUGGGGAGCUUGCUUAAGCAGGUAGGUAGGAUUAUAUGGUCUCCAGACGUACCGUAUCACUUUCUAUAGCUACUUACCUGAAGGGAGGCUGUAUUAAGGUGAGGACAGCUUCUUCUCUCAUAAAACAGCAAUAGGACCAGGGUGAAUGGCCUGAAUAUGAACAAGGAGAGAUUCAGGUUGGACCUUAGGAAAUACUUCUUCCCUGAAAGUGUCACCAGACUCUGGCACAGGCUGCCCCAGGAGGUGGUGGAGUCACCAUCCCUGGAAGUGUUCAAGAAACAUUUAGACGUACUGAUAGACAUGGUUUAGAGGGAAAUUUUGGUGGCAGGUUGACAGUUGGACUGAAUGAGCUUAUAGGUCUUUUCCAACCUUGGUGUCUCUAUGAUUCUUUGGUCAUAUAUAAAGCUACUACAAAGCACUUGUGUUAACCUCUUGUUAAUAGGUUAACAAGUUAACUUGUUAACCUAUUUCAGGGUUGUUUUCAAGAUUCUUCUUUGAGGGCAUUUACCAUAUUUAUCCACAUCACGAAUCUUCAUAUAUCAAGAAUCACUAAUCAUUGAAUCACAGAAACAUUUGAAUUGGAAGAGAUCUUUAAAGGCCAUCUGGUCCAAUUCCCCUGCAAUGUACAGCUGAAUCAGACCUGUACAGCCUGACCUUGAGUGUCUCCAGGGACAGGACAUCCACCACCACCUCUCUCAGCAACCAGUUCUACUGCCUCACCCACCCUCACUGUAAAAAACUUCUUCCUUAUAUACGAUCUAAGUAUUUUUGUAGACAUGACCCUCAUCUUGCUCAUGCUUAGUUCUGCUCUGUGCAGCACAGCCUUGCAUAAGUAUUACCCACAAGCACUGGCUGAAGAUGAAUAGCAUGGUUCAGCAUAGUACCAGGGUCUUCCUGUAGCUCUCGGUGCUGCCCAAGGAAUCAAGAUCAGUCAGUUCUGCCUCAAAUUUCAUAAAUUAGUGAAGCAUUCCUUUCUGAAAUUCUGUGAUGGAGCAUGUAAUUAUCACCAAAAUCCACAUCAAAUACCCAAUAUCUCAAGUAAUUACUGCAGUACCCAGUAGCUGCUGCCUCAUCUAGAAUACUUACUUAGAGAAAAAACAUUUAAAGAAAGAAAAACUUUAAAAAAAUUAAAGGGUUGUUAAGGUUUUGAUGCAACAUCCACAAAGUAGCAGAUGUGCAAAUGAUAGUGAAAUGAGAGAUGCUGAGAGGGGUGCAGAGGGACACUGGCAGCUUCCAGAAAGCUACCUUCCCUUCUUUUGCUUUCCAGUUCUUAUGUAAGGGAAAGAUAAUUAUUCAAUGUGCAUCCUCUUCAGACCUUACAUUUCUAUAAUUAAGCAAGAACAAUAACCCGGAAGAAAGCGAUGUAACCCUAUUAUCUCCUAAUUUGUUAAUGUUGUUAAAUUUUUGGCAAAGGGUAUCUACCUGCUCUUUGUCAACUGUGUACUGUAGCUAAUUAACUCAGGUAAAAUAGGGACAGCCCCACAGGCACGUGGCCUUCAACCUCAUGUCAGGUGCAAUGAUCCUUUUCCUCAUUUAAAUAAAAAAAAUAAAUCACAGAGUCUUAAUGUCCUGCUCAUCUGUAUGGAAUUGGAAGAAACUCCAGUGAAAUGGGCCUCUGAGCCAUUUCAAGUCAUGUUAUUCAAUAAAGUGGCGUUUUAGCAGUUUCAUCUUUACACUGGUAUUAAAGCUUUAGGAUUAGCAAAGCCUAUCCUUAAAAACAAAAAUAAAAGCAAAAAGGGAACAAGUGAUGUCCUUCCAGCUUCAUGGCAACAGUGCAAAGUUUUUCAGGGCAAAAUACAGUUAUAAGAACUGAGAAUUUUCUUUUGACAGGAUUUUAAAAUUUCACCCCAUACCAAAAAUGUCACUUUUUCAUUUAAAUCACUGCCUUAAGUGUUUACAAACCGGCAGAUAUAGAUUUAUUCAAUUGCAGAAUGAAGAAUGUAGAAAUUUAAUAUAUUACUUUAUGUUUAAAUAUUAAAUGGAUUAAUGAGAUGGCACCAUCUACCCUUCUCCUGUAUGCAAAAAAAACAACCAUUUUGAGCAGAAUCACAUUACUCUAAGCAUCCUCUGUGCUCUACACAUAAAACUGAUGCAAUUUUCUGACAGAGUUAUUAAUCAUUUUGAGAAGUUUCUCUUGGAAAAUUCCAGUUACAAAUACCAAAUUGCAUUUUCCAAUAAGAAAUGAAGGAUUAGCUUUUCCCCUUGUUUGGGCUGCAUAAUUUGCAUGUCAAUUAAGAUUAUCCUCAUGAUUUUGUAAUUACUCAAAUCACAUCAAUAAAGAUAGCUUUCUGCUUCAUAUAUAUUUAGCUGAUGUCAGGGUUUUACUUUACGUGUUUACUUUUGAUACGUAAACACUGGCUUUAAAAGCCCGUCCCCUCUAACUCUGACAGAUUUUCUGUUUCUUGUUUAGCAUGGCCUGUUCUUAAAAAAGACUAAUCUUGAACAGGAUAAAAUUGAAAGAAAACAAAUAUUCCUAGAAAUAAUUUUCUUGAAUGUGGCUGUAAGUUAUUUUAUUGUAAGCUGGGGCCAUGCUCUACAGAUCAGAACACAUUUUCCUCCUCUGUUUUCAACAGAGAGGGAUACAAUACCCUACAAAGGUACAUGUCUGUGAAAAUAGUGUCUAUUUUUUUGGCUUUGUUCAAUAUUUCUCUAUUAACAAAAAAAGUUUCACUUAGGAAAAAAAAAAACAGGGCUUAACCAAGGAAAAAACACAGAUAGAUCUGUGAUGCUGUGGAGAAAAUAAAAAGGAAAUUGUCAUUUGGAAUAUGACAAAGUAUUGAGGAGCAUUGCUAAAAUAUUGCUAGAUAUGGGCAAGAACAUCACUAUGGGAAACAUAAGGCCGCGGUGUAUUGGGCUGUCUCUGGACUCUGCUACUUGGGAACCCAAUUCACUACUGGGAUAUGUCCACCCAGCAGCAAGGUACAAGGAAUGGAGGGCACUCAGGCUCAUUUGGGCACAGAGAAAUAUCAUUUGAUCUGAAAGCAGCAGGGCCAUGACAGAAAAGCACCAAGACAUUAUUUAUCUCUUUGGUAACAUACCCAGAACAGUGGCUCACAUGGGACUGGAGGAGAAGCUUGUUACUGUCAAAGAACCACAAUAUACCUAUGAAGAAAUUAUUUCAGUUUCUUUCUGCUUCUUCUAUUCUACAACGCAUUCUUAACACUGUAAUAUCCAUUUAAGAGGAGAGAAGCCAUAAAAAAAUCUAUUAUUGUGAAAUGUACUGCCAGGGGAAUAUAAACAAUAAGCAACCUGGAAAGUGAUGCUCUGAACAAACAAAUACCUUUCUUUAUCAGCAACAGUUUAAGUGUUUUGGUCACUGCCAAAUGCUCUCACUGUGAGUCCCUUGGUGUCAGCAGGAAAAUCCUGAGUGAAUACAAUGCAAACUAACUAAAUUGCAAAAUCUCUUUAUACUCUUUGCAUUUGAUUAAGGUAAAAUGACCAAAAGAUAAGCUGAAAUCUCAAAACAAUCUUAAAAAUUUCCAUAUAAAUAAAACCAAAACAUCACAUACCUUGCUCUCAGACAUCUGCUGCUAGUCACAGAGAUAUAUAAACGUGGAGAAAAGACUUAAUAAAGUAACAGCAUGAUGAACCUUUCUAAAAUACCUUUUAAAAUAACAGCUGUAAAAAACUGUGAAAGCAACAGUACUGAUAAUUCAAACUAAAAACAAAAAAUAACUGGCCAUGGGAUGAAGAGAAUUUCUGGAGGUGUAGGAUGCCAUCCCUUGAGGGAGGCCAGACCAUAGCUAUGCAACUGAGAACAAAUGUUUGUUUAACCUGUGGGCAUCAAUGGAGAUAGAGAACCAAGAGGACUUUUCAACUAACUUCAGCAUCACGAGGCUUUUUCUAAAGCCUAACCUAGAUUUCAUUUGCUAAAAAUUAAUCCCAUUAUUUUGUACACCAUUCUAAGUGGACACAGAAUAACGUAUUACUGUCUUUGCAAGAACUCUCAAAUGGCUCUAAUUAUACUAACUACGCUUUUAGAUGGUUAUAAUUUUAAACAAAAUCAGGUAAUUGGAAGAUUAACUACUGACUGCAAAUAUUGCAGCUUAAAUAAAAUAUAGGGUUUUUUUGUUGUUGUUGUUUCUUUCCUGGUAUUAGUACCAGGUAUUUCAGUUAAAAAUUAGAUAAACACAAUUAAUUCAUCCUUACCCCACACAUCCAGUGCAUUUCCUUCUGUUGCACAGACACACACACAGAUAUCAUUUCCAAUCAAAGUCAAAUCUACUAUCUCAGCCAUACUUUGCUGUUGCCCUUCUAUUUCUAUCCAACUUCAGGAAGUCGGGAGAAAAAUGUUUGCUUCUUCUAUCUAUAUAUUAUUAGUUUCCCUCUGCCAUUCCCCCCAAAAAAUAAGGAUUGAGUCCAGAGUCCCAGGACUCUCCUAUCUGCUGCCACAGGACGAAGAGGGCAUCUGUGACUUCUUUCUUAUUUUCCCUUUCUUGUUUUUCUCUGAAGCACUUCUUCCUUUUUGAAGAAGCUAUUUUUAUUUGACAUGUCCUUUAUAAGCAUUCCCUGAGGACCCUCAAUCAAAAGUGUCUGAUACUACAGAGAGCUUUUUCUUUUUGUGAUAUUUAAGCCUAACUUGGUGGCAAAGUUGUUAUUUUUAGCUCAUCAGAAAAGCUUUUUUCCCUCCACUCCAGGGCCACGUUGCAGCCUUUGUAAUUUAUCAUCGACAUGAAUCUUUUCCAGAUCAGCCAAAUUCCAUUAUAAACCUCAUGUUUAGCUCUUAGUAAAAUCUUAGUAACAUGCAAGUAGCUUACAUAUGAAUUGCUUAAAUGUACCUGCUUUGCGAUGGUAACCAAUUAUAUUUGUUGUUCCUUUUCAAACCCCUCACUCCGAGACUUUCCACCUCUGAGUUACUGGAUUGCAGCCUAUGAGUUUUUUACUUUAUAGUGGACUGCUCUGGAAAUUGUUACGUGCCAAGUCAGGAUGGCAGAACAGUCUUUUAGGAAAAUAAAUAUAUACAUAUAUUUUGAUCCAAAAUAAGCUGAUGACUCUGCCUGAAUUGGUGCUUAUAGACCAAAUAUUCAGGGCUAAAGUAAAUAUGACUCGUUUUGCAGACCAUAGAAUAUAUGCAAGUAGUGCUAAAGAUGCUGAGUGGGCAAUAUUUUCUUCUAGAGAAGUGAUUAUGAUUUUUCAUCUGUGUUUAUGUGUGUUCAAUAGUUUGAUGGUCUAUAAGAAUCUUGAUCCAGAAAUUUAUAUAAUAAACCAUUUAGAAAUAAAAGUAACAACCAGGAUAUAAUCCGUGCUAUACUUAUUUUUAGCUCCAGUGCUUUGCAGUGGAGGUUUCAAGAUCACCUUUUAAAGCAGUAUCAGCUCUCGUACCAAAAGAUCCAUCUUUUCCAAACAUGUCCCUUGCCGUUAAGUGAAGCACUUGCUGAAGCGUGGAACAGUUAUGAUGAACACAGAGGUGGUUCCUAUAAAAUCAGAGUUAAAAAGAAGAAGAACAACAACAUAAAAAAACCCUUCUGUGAUGAUGGCCAAGAAAUUUUAAAAAUAAAUGCCAAAACUAGGAAAAAUACAUUUCACUGUGUUCUGUUUUUCAGAUAAUUAAAUGAAAUAGCUAGAGUUGCAAAUUUCAUUUUGAUAUAUGCUUUCUUAAAAACAUGCCCAAUCACCUAAGUAGCAAUAGUUGUAUUAAAUGAUGCAUACUAAAUACUGAUGUUUAACAGAAUACUAUAAGAUGUUGUGCCAGAAGGAAAAACAGAGAAAUAGCUUUGGCUCUUUUAACGAAUCGAUUUAAAACAGAAUCUCCAGAAAAAUGAAGCAGCCAACAUUAUUUUUCUGAGAUGCACACAUAUAUGACACAGAGCAAUAGAAUUCAGGGAGACAAAUAUCCCAGUAGCUAAAAUAAAAUGUUACUGCUAUCAUUAGUACUAGUCCUAUGGUCAAUCAUUGCUAUCUGACACUGGAGAUGGAUAGCGAGAAGAAUUGAGUUGGAUUUCAAAUUAUAAAAAAUAGAAUAUAUGUGCUUACAAAUAAAGAAAACAACCAGCAUAACACGGGGGGAAAAAAGGACUUGUCCUUUAUGAAUCUGUUUUUUACUGAAAGUCCUGGCUUACAAAAGCAAUUGGCACAAGCUAUUUAGGUGAGGUUGUGAGUUUUAAGAAAACAGAAUAUUGUUAACUUUCACCAGUUAACUUUCUCUGGCUGUACUGAGGAUUUUUUCUUAAGCAUGGCAAAGGCAAUGUCAUUUCUCCUUGACAGAAUCUCUGAUACAUUAUAAGAAUGGAAUUUGCCAUUUGCUGCAUAGCAGUGACUUGCUUUCUGUAAUUUGCCAUAAAAAUGCUUCUACCUGAUCAGUGCUAAUUAUGAAUUAAAUUGCCACAGGAAAAAAAUGAACCUAUUUUUUGAUUCCUUCUAAAAGCAGACUGCUGUAGUCUCCUUGCUCGUAAUAAUCAUUCCCCUCUUCCCAACAAUUUCACUCACCUUUAACUCACAAAAAGGGCAGUAUGUACUGAGACCUUCUUUACUUCUGUUUUAUAAACAGGCUUUCUCCCCUCCCUGUUCCUGCAAUGAAAUGGUUAAGACUACAUUAGAGAUUCAACCUAAUGAAAUUCACAAGAAAAAAAAAAAUAUUUUUUUUUUCCCCAGUACUUCCAAGAAUACACAUAUUUUAACAAUCAGGACAUCCAUAUUUGUGCCUUGGUGUAGUACGUAGUACACACAUAACUCUGGGAGACGCUCUGCUUGUUGAAGGGAAAGUCUCCACACAAUCCCUGUUGGCCUAAUAUCAACUACAGCAAAAUCUUUGUUGUUGCUUGAGAAAGCACUGACAAACUGCUGCUUUUCAUUAACUGGUCUCCUCUCUCAUGAAAAACAAUUGCAUAAGACAUUCAAAUGGGAAAACAUACUUACAUCUGCAAUUCCACCAGCUGUCUGCCUCUACUCUGAAACUCAGGAAAGAGAAUCUUUCAUGGUAAACUGUAAGAUGCAAACAUUCACAACACAUAAAUAUGUUCUUUGAAUAAUGCUACCUUUAUUUAUGACAUUUUAUGCAUAAUAGUUUUUCCUCUCUCCCCAGAUGUUAUUUGUUAGACAUUUGUAAAAUCUGAGGCAUUAGACUCCUUUCAAUGUGAUAUUUUUAUGUGCAUUCCGAAGUGGACUGGUUGGAAAACAAGAUUAUGUGAUCUGUAUUACAUUUUUGGCACAAAGCUCACAGUAUUAAAUUCAGCAUAUUUGUGAUAACAGCAAAAGUUUUGAUAACACUUUUGGUCACACAAAGAUACAGAAUAACUAACCCUUCACAUGUCACCCAUCACUGCCCUUAUUCCUAUCCCAAAGCUAACAGCUCUCUAGAUUUCAUUGAUAAACACCGAUAUGAUUUUGCAUAUCAUUUGUCAUUGCUGUUUGACCCUUUCCUAGAUCUGUUUUCAGGUGUGUGAACAUCUUUGGAAGCUCCAAGACCCAAGGAGCGGCAGUGAUCCAUCAGAAUGUAGUGGAGCAGGAGCUAACCCUGGAUGUGUGUAUUUUUCCCAUUUACAGGUAGUGGGAUGCUGAAAGCAGUUGAGAAGUUGCCCAUGGCCAGGAUAAGCAACUGCUUUAAUGCUAAUAAAGUUGCUUACUUAGUGAGUGCAGCUCGCCCUAGGUGUAUUUAUUUGAUUUAAAGAGGAACAUCUCCACAAUGUCUUUAAUAGCGUAGAUUCUUUGGUGAUGCUGAAAAGUAGACUUUAAAUUAGGUUACCUGAAUUAAUUAUCUCAGAGCUAUUUUCUUUCAAUUAGCUGUUUAUGAAAAGUUUUUUUAAGUCAGUUAAAAUCUUUUGCAGCAAAUAUCAAUGAAUCUAUGCUGGUUUAUCUAAGAUUUUGCCUUCUAGAUGGGAAAAGCUCAGUAUUCUUACCGCUGCUUACAUAAAGUGGCAUUCCUACAGCCAUUGGAUGAAACAUGCCUUUAAUUGAAAUACAUCAAACAAGAGGUGCUAGAUACAACAUGAAAACCACAUUUUAAAAUAUAAGUAAGUGUUUUCGCACUCAACAUCCAAUUUUUUCCCCUAAUGAUUUGUGUCUGCAGUAUACAAUAUAUUUUGGCUCACCUAGAUGUUUAAAAGAUAAGAAAAUGAUUCUACUUAUUGAUUUCCUUUCACAUGUAGCAGAUAAAUCAAUAGGAUGUGUAGAUGAAGGUCUAUUAAAAUCCUUUCUGCUGACAUCACUCUUGCCUGAAGGUUUCUACAAUGAUGACCCUGGAGUUUCUCUGUGAGAGGCCAUUCAAACAAAAGAAUAUAGUAAAACCAAAUGUCCUCUGUGGGUUUAAGCUAUAACUUCUCCUUUGUAGAAUAGCUUACGUCUUAAUUAAUAUUUCUGCUACAAUGCAGCCACAGUUUGCUGGGACAAAACCAGAAAGCAGAAAUAAAAAAAACAGGUAUAAUAUUUCAUUGUUCAUUUUAAAGAAACCCAACUACACUCAAACAAAUGAAAGCUACUGUCUAAUACAAGAGAGCUCCCAUAUCCAGUGUUUCUGAAAAGCUGUAUGCUAAGUACUAUAUAGACGCUAAAGGUGUCCCGUCCUUUGUACAACUGUUGUGAUUACUGUAGAUCAGUACAAAACAGCUCUUUAAAGUUUUCUAAUGAAGUGUCCAGAAAUCCCCCAAAAGGAUUCACGAUUCUAGGACUGCUGUUAUUAUUUUAUAAGCAUCAUGUUCAAAGGAAAUUUCAAGAGUGACUUGAAAUAGAUAUAGCAUGAGAUGGUUUUGCAUUGCUCACACUGACCUGUUUUUUCUUAGCAUGACAGGCAGCAUGAAAUAAGUAUGAAGCAUCUUAGUUUGAAAAUGUCACAAGUGAAUUCCCAAGUGCAGGAUCAGAAUCACCACCUGUUCAGAAAGACUUGAAAAAGCACAGACAGCUUCUGAAGAUGUCUGAAGCUAGAAACAAGAAAUGAAGAGAAGAUGGAAGGAGUGAAGAGACUGACAUUCUCUUUACUCCCUCCAUCCUCUUCACAUGCAUUGAAAGUGAGCUAGGAAAGCCAUCUCCUUAAGAAUAGCUGAGACAGGAAGAAAGGAUAAGAUGGGCAAGCGGGCAGGGGAAAAAGCAUGAAUGAGUCAGGUUGUCAACAAAACAAUUAGGUUGGUCUGACAUAAUUGAUUUUGACAAAUCUAAUCUUAUUGACUUUAUUACCUUUUCGCCCCUGCUCACAAAUUGAUUUUUUUAAUAAUUUUUCAAAUUAUGCUGUUCUGUUCCAGAGUUUGAUGUGUUUCUUUCACAAUGGCCAAAUAAAUAAAGUUAUCCUCUAUUACCAUUCUGUCCAUUGAAUGAAUUUUGUGAGGGCUAAAAACUUCCAUCAAUCAACUUGCUAUGCACUGCAAGUGCAUAGUUAUUUUGCAUGAGUUACAGAAUGUUUUGUUUCCCAUUUACACCUCGAGAACUGAAAACCCUGCUUUUUUAUAGCAAGACAUACAAAGCUACAGUACAAAACAAGUACGGGGAACAAUACCAGGAGUGAAGGCUCCUCUCCUAUUAUAAUUAACAAAGCAGUCUAAGCAGUUGAGAAUCCAAAGGCACCAAUGUGCUGUUAGGCUCUGGAACAGCUAUGAUAGCGUAAGAGUUAGGCAAAUUACUUAAUGGCUUCCUAUGCUAUCAGCAAAGCAUAAUUGCAGCUCUGUUGGGUAACACAUGGAACAGUCAUGAUUCAAAGCUUUCUUUCUGCUUUGUCUACUAUGCCAUCUGCUUGUUCCUUACAGAGCUUCAGUCUGGCAAGUGACCCACUUGUUGCAAUGCAGCUUGGCAGAGAAGUGGUGUUACAGAAUACUUUGUCUAUCUGUAUCUCUUACAUGUUCAAAUUUAGAAAUAUUCAUAAGGUUACCUCUCUAGUGGCAUGAAGUAAACAGUAGCAAAGCUAUCUCUUUGCUAUUUCUGUAAUGAAGCAGACUUCCUCCAUUUAUUGCUAGGAUAAUCCAGUCCUUUUGGAUAGGAUAAAGCAAACAUUUCCAACCUGGAGUUACAGAUCAGGUCUUGGUAGAUUUAGGAAAUGUGCUCCAUUUCAGAGAUUAAAUCAUGUACACUUGGCUGAGAAAUCACAGAACCAUCUCCUACUUUUGAUGACAUUACACUAUUCUGACUUAAACUCACCUGUCAGCUCACCAGAAAAACUAAAUCAGGUUUACUUAAAAGUGGAUGAUGUUUUUAAAACUUUAUUUCCUAAUUAAAAUACUAGUUCUAAAGCCAGUUCACACUCAGAAGUUUCAAGCAUUCAAAUACUUUUUGUAAAUAUCACUACUCUAAAAAUACCAUUUUUAAUGUCCCGUGAUUCUUUUUCUUUUAAUGGCCAACUUGCUAAGAAGUGAAGUUUUUCUCUUUAGAAAAAUCAGAACAGAUAACGAGGUUCAUAUCAAUUAGUUGUAUUACGAACAAAAUUGUAUUGCCAAUCACUGUUACAGACUAAUGGGUAAUGACAUGAAUUUACAGUGAGAGAAAUAAUUACUCGUUAGCUGCAAAUAUUAUGUUUUGCAACUCAUAAUUUUCUAAGAUAGACAAAUGUAAUCAUAAAAAUAACUGAAGCUAUAUGAUGGAAGAAUUUCAUUUCAGAAGUUGCCAAGAAAAAUGAAAAUGAGAAAUAAUUAAAAGUAAAUGAAUAAUUGGAGAUAUUGUUUGGAGAACACAGUGUUAGUGUGUCUUGAUGUUUCUGGAUUUUAUUCAGUUUAUUAUCUUUCUCUUACGCAAGAACAAAGAUGUGGAAAACACGUAACUUCAUGUCUAACCUGAAUGUUACGAAGUUCUGUGAAGCAGAAAGACAGGAAAAUCACCAGCAGGCUUAAGAAAUGCAAUAGAAAGCCUUGAAAACAUCAUCUCUAAGUAUUGUGGUUGAGUAUAUUAAGUAGUAAGAAUUUGAAUAUACCAAUUAAGCACCACUGCUGUUACAUAAAGUGGAAUACCCUAUGUCAAAGCCUCUAUCAGGUAUCUUUGGAGUUGGGGUACAAAUUGAAGGGAAAAAGAAAUUUAUUACUCAGAGAUAUAAAGCCUGAAGAUAUGCAGCUGCCAAUGUUUAUGAAGUAAUAUAAUAAACCACAGUGCACAGCAAGUACAUUUACAGAAAGUGGUUACCAGUAUAGAAUUCAUUAUAGAAGAGUAAACUGAACUUUGAACCUAUGAAAAACUGUUAUUUGCUUUCAUUGAUUUGAAGUGCUGGACAACCAUGGCUGGAUUCAGUAGCGUGCAUGCGGGUGCAAUACUGAAAAUACAUACCACCAAUGUCAGGAGUAUCAUGGGAUGUACAGCAUUGCUGUAUCUGCCAGACAUCCUGCAGAACAACGAAUGGCCUAUUUUCACCAAAUCCACUGAACAGUAUGAAAACUGCUAAGCUCAGUGUCUACCCGGUAUUCAGACUGCCUGGGGAAAAAAAAAACAAAACAGCCCACUGACAGAUUGUGUUGAGUUCUUCUCUGUGGUGUUGCUGAGCAUAUCCCACUGGUGGACAAGGUGAGAUUUACAGACAGGCUAUUGGGAGGUGAGAUGUGGCACUGUGUAGGGCAAGCAAGAGGGAAAUCUGCAACACCAUGCUCCUUGCAGCACUAUCUUCAAUAGAGAAGGUAGCUGAGGAUGAAGGAAUUGUCAUUACCACCAUCUAACACAUGAACGCACCUCACCAGAAUUAUUUUCACCAAAUUUAAAGGAAAUAAACAUGUAAUGAUAAUGUACCACUCAAAUUUUCAGGAAUUUUUGUUUGUUUUUGAUAAGGUAGUGAAGCCCUGGCACAGGCUACCCACAGAGGUGGAUGCCCUGUCCCUGGAGAUACUCAAGAUCAGGCUGGACGGGGCUCUGAGCACCAGAUGGGAGCUGUAGGUAUCCCCGUUCAUUGCAGGGGAACUGGAGUGAAUAACCUUUGAAGACCCUUCGAACUCAAAUGACUCAUACUAUGACUCACAGCAUUUGAAAACCAGUUUAGAAGAGGCCACAUACAAGAUCCAUUUUUUCCUAAAAAGGCAUCAAUUUUGUGUGGAAGAAAUGCUCACAAUGAAAAGCUUUGUAGAAAGAGAAUAUUUCUUUUCAUGCUAAUAGGUAUGUCAUUACAUAAAAAGCUUAUAGGAAGCAGUUUAUAAAACAGCUAUAAGGAAUAUUUUGAGCCAGUAAUUAGAUAGUCUAUCUGAAAUGAGCUUGAAUGUGACAAGCAAAGCCAACCACACUGGGAAGAGAAGAAAUAUUUUUGAAGGCUUAUCUUUCUAUCAAAACAAGAGACAGCUGCUUUCUAGAGACAGCAGCGCAGCUCCUCGGGAAGUGGGACAGCCCUCAAAGUAUGUGCUUUGGGCAGAUGGAAGAAUCAAUGCCAGGACUAGCUGUCAUCCACAGCCAAUAGGAAAUUUCCCUAAGGCAAACAGAAAAUAGAGCCUGAAUCUACAGCUGUCCUUGGUGGCCUAUAAAGGCUAUAUAAUCUUUUCUUCUAGAAUUCUUCACAGAGUAGGGAAUUUUGCAAGCAGGGCAUAAUCUAAAGAAUACGUGACAUUUUCUUAACGCCAUUCCCAUAGACCUGAGACUGCAAUAAUAGUUUCUACGUUUCCAGUCCCCCAGGAUUCAUGCUGCAUAAGAUUUUUCCCAUUUCAGUACUUUUACCUUGCAGCCCUGCCCAGGCUUGAUUUCAGUCUUUCCUUUCCAGGGACCAUGUUCAUCCAUGCAAUACAUUCUCCUCAACCUUUUUUUCUGCAGUUUUCUUUUCCUUUCUCGCUGCAUGCAAAAGGGAGAAAAAAAACAAACAAACAAACAAUUCUUUAACAAUACCAUGCAUCAACAGUAAGGGAACUGAAAGGAAUGUGUCACCUUUUCCAUAAGCAGCCUUUCACAUCGUGCAAUAUAUGUCUGCUCCUACUGAGAGUCUAUUGCUGGAUAAGCCUGAUCACAAUUAUGUUCAAAUUGAGCAAUGUUACCUACAGAAUUAUUUGUUCACAUAAAAUAUUUCUUUCCUCUGAGACUGAUUUUCUAGAUGUUCCUCUGCCCCUCAAAAGAAAAGCGAAAAGCACAGCAAAGAAAAAGUCAGUAACUGAGAUGAACCAAUUCCCUGCGGAAGAAUUGAGCCUUAAGUUUUGGAAAUUCAUCUAUGCAGCUCAACAGGUCCCAGGAAAUAUGGAUCUGUAACAGCUAAAGAUUCCAUAUACGUGGAAGAGGAUUACAAAGCCAAUUGUUUUCAUACGAUGGAUUUAAACAGCAGGAGUUUUAAAUAAAGCCAUUUUAACUCAACAGCCUACAGUGCUUUAGACAAGGACACCAUUAGCAGUAUACUAUCUGUGCAUUUUUCUGACACUGAUCCUUCCAACAAUAAGCGUACUUUUCCCCAGUCUAUUUACUAAAAGAAAAUGAAUCAAAAUAUUGUUUAAUUAAAACUUGUUUUCUUCAGUUUUCUCCCAACCAUUCCAAGCUCACUGCGUGGGAACUUCCUAUUGCCAGAGUCCUCAAAAGGUGUUGUCUCAGAAUAUUAGAUUUCAGUAAUGGGGUUUAAAACAACCUAGGUGCUAGCACAAAAGACAUAAGCAUAUGCAUACAGGACAUGUAUUUUCAAUGAGCUCUACUUUCCUUCUAUUCUAUGGACUGCUUAACUUUUUUCUUCAUUCCUUUGCUUUCUAUAUUUGAGUUUCAGUUAGCUUCUACAGUGUUUUUGUUUCAACAGAUCUUCUAACAGAACUGAUAGGACUGUUAAAGGAUAGCUAUCUCCCUUUCUUCAUUACCGAACAUAAAACAGCAUCUAUCUACACAAAUGACUGAAGUUUACCCCACAUCUGAAAUCUUUUUGAGAUAUAACACAGAAUCUAAUUGUUUGCACCGGAUUUUACAACACUGUGCUUAAGACAGUGCUGAUGCAUCAUUCUUAGCUAUUCUAAAAUAAUUGCACCCCCAUAAAAGCAUAGUAAUUCUCCUUUCUUAGAAUAAACUAUAGAGCAUUUCAUUGCUUCUACAAAUUCAAACUGAAGGGAAGAGGAGGUGUGUACUUCUAUCAACACAUAGAGCUAAUGAUUGGAACUUUUCAGUGAAGUCAUUUUUGUUUAUAAAAUCCCCUGCCUAGCUUUAUCUCUGUAGUCCAAUGAAGCUAUUUAAUGUGUAAAAAUACCUCAACAUCCAUGUCGUUUUACUUCAUUGUGAGUAUGGAAACACUAUACAUAUCUGAUAAUAUGCACUUCAACAAGAGAUAGAAUCCAGCAGCUGAAAAACUAAUUUACAGUGUAAGAUUCUUGGUGGUAAAUAGGAAUUAAAGUCUCAUUCAACUGAAAUCAGUGGUGGAAGUACCAUUAGUUUCACUUGGGCUGGAUUUCAACUGGUUUCAGUUUUGUUGAUCCAACUCAUGGCAUAAUCAAGCUUAAGCGUAGGAAUCUAUAUUCCCAUUGAAAUCCAUUAUUGUCAACACAUAUUCAAGCCCCAAGGUGCUAAACAUCUAGCAAUCUUAUCCAAUAGGUAAUGCCUUCUCAAAGAUGUCCUCCCUCCACCCAAUCCUCAGUUGCAGCAUCACUUUUUGAUUAGUCUGACUGCACAGAGCCACUUGCUGAUGAGUGGUUCUCAGCCUCAACAUUCUUGACAGGUUCUUAAAUCUGCAAAAAAGCUGAUUCCGCACUUAACACUAAACCCAGGCCACACACCAGUCAGCUCAGCUCUGUAGUGCAAAUGCAACUGAGACAAAGCUUUCCAAUAAUUCUUCAUUUGGCACUGGAAAUGCAGUGAGUCCAACUCAAGUAUGAAUAAUCUAGUGAGGCACAUUCCAUCUCACAAGUGGGGCAGGGAAAGUCCCCAGAAAGUCUUGAGGUUGUGGUCUUCCUUAUGUUUUGAGAAGCAGAGAUUCAUGCUCAUCUGGAAGUAAGACCAGGUGAGGGACAGCAAGGGAGUGAAUAGCCCCUGAUGUUUUCUGAUUGUAUCCAACUUAAAGUAAAUUUCAUCCUGACCUGAAUCACAUUUACCAUACUGAGAGAGUUUUUUAGAUCUGGUAAGAGAGCUGCACAUAUUUUUCCCCAUUUUCUUUGCUGAAAUUCUUGGUAAAAAAUUGCCCUUAAUGCAAACUCUGCCAUAGAAUGUGAUUACAUCCACACAUGCUCCUGCAGUUUGAAAAUCAGCUGUAAAGAACUACUGACUUUCUCUCCUAUCUGUUUCUUUCCAUAUUGUCUAGUGCUGGUUUCUAAUAAGAACAUGCUGUAAGCUCUGGGAUUCAUUUAUUUCAUUCCUUUCCAUUACUACUUCCAUUGAGAUGUUAUGUUUGCAGUUACAAUCUGAUGGAUUUUAAAUUAACAGUAAUAGAAGGAAUAUUAAAUUGCCGGUGGACAAAAUGUUAUUAGGAAUAAUAAUAUAGUCUGAUGUUCUUUUUUAAUGUUCAGUUUUAUGAACUAAGUAUGAAAAUAUUUAAAUAAUGAAAGUAAUUGCUUAUUAAAAUCAUUAUUGUGCAUAAAUAUUUAUAUUCCCAAUCAGCGUCUCCUCAGAGGUACAUCACUAGCUGCAAUGAAAACAAUGUGUGUAUCGUACACGCAAAAACAUAUUUCCAGUUCUUCUCUUGGCACACAUCACCACUGUAUAAUCACUCUCAGAGUGACACCAUUCUGCAUGAGCUGAGGACCUGACUUCCAGUUUGCACUUCUGAUUUUAGUGUCUUACCUUUGAGAACAAUGCUGGAUAUCAGACACUGGUGAUUCAAAGAAGCAGGAACUCAGCAUUUUUUGGCAAUCGAGCACCUCUGUAGGUGGCAUCCUGGCCUCUUGCAAGUCAAUCUGAUUUUCCCUCUUACUUCAGAUCUGACUUCUCCAUAAAGAGAGCACUUGAUACUUGCAGCUAUAUUCAGAAGGAUAAUCAACCAUACAUUAUUACUUCUGUGACCUUGUAGUGUGACCACUUCAGAGAAACAUGAAAUAUGAUGGGAAAAAAAUAUUAGAUGCCUGAUUCCAUAAACAAGCAAUGAGGUUUACAAAGAAAGUUCUAAAGGCAUGUAUUUUCUAUAUAUCAUCUUCCAGUCCCUCCAAAUCCUGCCUGAUUUCACACUUCUAGAAAAAACCAAAAUGUGACAUUAUAAUAAAGGAAAAUAAAUCUUAAAGAUAAACAUAGCACAACACAGUUGGAAAAUCAAUGAUGAGAUGGCAUCUAAUUGCUUUUCAUCUCCAAAAUGCUGCAGACCACUGUAUUAAUUCACUGCUAUACAGAGCAUUACCAUAUGUAAAUAAUUACAUUAACCCCUGUGCUCUACCACCCUGUCGCAUAUCACAGGGAAGAACAAGCUGACAGUGAAGGCACAGCAGGGUAUAGCAGAGCAAGGUGCAGAAUAGAAGUAUGAUUUCUAAUUAAGAGUCGGGAGUCUUAGAUGACACAUUAUUACUGGGGCUGAACGAGGAUAAAAGAUGAAUGCCUAAUAAAGUAAUGUGAUAGCUAACAAUGAGGUACAAUAGCAAUCCCCUAUUAAGGUACCCUUUCCAUUCCAAGGAUUUCCAUUAAUUUUGGCAGGUCUGGAGGACAGGGAAUAUCUGUAUAUGCAGGCAGUUGAGCACACUUGAGUGAUGACUGACGUAUUUUGAGGUUAGCAAAUCUUACCUGCAUUUGAAGAGAAGCUUGAAUUCCUCAUGGUCUCCAUACCCUGCUUUCUGUUUCAGGAUGAGGAUUUGGUUAUGGUUCCUGAAGGCUGGUUUGUCAUUUAUUGGAUGGGUUACCAUGUCAGAGGCCAUACUGGCUUUUUUUCUGCAUGUUCCAGGAAAGUGUUUCUUAUUCUUUUGUAAUGGAAUGUACCAUAGGUAUGAGGGAAAUAACCUAUGGAUAUUCAAUAUAAAUGAAUUGGCUUCAAGAGAAAAUGUUACCUAUUUAUCUACUAUCUAUUUAUCUACUUAUUUCGAAGUUUAUUUAUGCAAAUGCUGUAUGCAAAUACAGUAUUUUCCAAGUGUGUCCUGCUGAAAUAGACGCCCAAUCCUAUUGUGCUAACAUCUCCUUAUCCAUUUUUCAUUCUUCAGAUCAUUUCACACUUAAAAUACGAUUAUGAGCACUUCAGGUCAUUUCAGAUGCUAGCUCAAUGAACUGGCUGCUAUAUCUUCAGUGCUUUAUAUUUUAAGAAUAGCAUGGACUUCUUUCCUUCCAAUAUACCAAAUCUUAGUCUUAUGCAUCCCUUUCUGAACAUCCUCGUUGCUGAUUGGAGAGAAAGAAGAACGUUACUGAAGAAUGACUUUUUACAUAUAUGAUGCAAAGCAUAUGAAUUUGGAUUCAACUUCUGUGCCUAGUCAAGAAGGCCAAAAAAAUGAUUUGCUACACCCAAGUGACACAUGGCAAUCUGCUUGCUCAUAAGUAUGUUCUGAUUAAUGCAUGCUGGUGAUCUGUAGAAUUUCAUCUAGUCCAGAACACAAUCUCGCUUGAUAAAUAAAUACUAAAUGAAUAGUUUGCAGUAUAAUUUUUCCUAAUGAACUGCAUCUGAAUUACUGUUGUAGCUUGUGACAAAGCCUGUGACAUAAUGCUAAACUUGGGAUUGCCAACAGAAACCUAUUACUCAAUAAAUGUAUAAGAAAAGUUAAAAACUGGGAUCUUUUCCUCAACUACAAGUUUGGUUUCAGACCUUACCCUAAGAAAAAUGCAUAGAUCAAAAUUCCCUUACCUAGAAGAAGGAUUUGAACCUAUGUUUCUGAUGCAUUUCAGAAAAAAGUGGCUUUCCUCAGGCUAUUCUUGAGUCUGACUACAACACACUAAGUUCACAGGCUGCUCCUACCGUAAUGCCGCCUAUACUGUUAUGUCAGCUCACAAGGUCAGAGGAAGAUGGUAGUAUGGAAGUAGAGGCUGAACAUUCCCACCAACAAUCCAUGACAUUUUGUUGCCAUGCAGUAGAUGGCAGCACAAGUAGCACUCUGACAGAAUGGUGUCUGACAGUGGAGUGUGCAUGGAGCAAAGGGUACACUGCAAGAUCAACAGUUUGGGUAAAUCCCCAACCUUCUACCUAAAUGGAUAAGUGUGGAAGACCCCACAAAAGAAUGAGGAAGGCUCCUUGAGUUCAAAAAGGGACAGCAGUGGUUACCCCAUGGAACAAGAAAGAAAACAGUGUGAUGCAAUCUGAAUGCAAAACAGGAACCUCUGCUGCAUUUCAUCAAUGUCUGCCACCUGAGCCACCAUCAGUCAAUGAUAAAAAAAGACAGGAUCACAGUUAAGUCUUCUUGCUAGCUUGAUCUGUGGGAGAUUGUGAUGGACAGACAAGGAUACAAAGAGUUCACGAGCUAAUUUUCCAGGCUGCAAGUACUACAAGUCUUAUUAGAUGAGCUUGCACAUAGAAGACAAAGACAAUAAAUCUAUGAGAGUUUUCUUGACCUAAUAAAACUACUGCCAUGGAACAGAAGUGCAAGAAUAAGGUUCUAGGGAGAAAUCACACUGACUGAUAAAUUUCUCACUAUGUUCUCAGUUAUAACAAAGUUUAUAUAAAACAACAGUUCUCCACUACUACAAUGGCCAGCCAUAUGCCCAUAUGUAGCUACUUCAAGCUACUGUUAAAUCCAUGAACCUAGAGGGUAGGCAAAAUACAAAUAUCAAAAUCAAAUGCCUUCAGCCUUUUUUCUUCCUUACAGAACUGUUACAGAUGAUUUAUUAGUGAAUGGAUACUUGCCAUCUCUUUUAAAAUUAAAAGCCCCCUCAGAGUCUCUGCAGCCCCCUCCAUUACAUUACCAGCAUAUGCAAGCUGCAGUGGUACAACUGGGAGAAGAAUCGGGCUCUCCGAGUCAAAAACUCUAUUUUCUUACCAACCACUAAAAGGACUCAAAGAGUGUAAUUUGAAUCACCCUUAAAUUCCCCAGAAAAUAAAAGCAUAACCAUGUAAAUAGGAUAAGAAGUUAUUAAAGCAUAUAGUUUAAUAUCAGUGCUUUUAUGCUUUGUUUGUUCUGUGGCAGCCAAAGCUUGGAAUAAGAGAUUAGAGACAAGCAUUUGCUCGAUUAGCAUGGGAUGGGGAGGGGUGAGAAGCUGGGGCUAUAGUAUUGCCUCAAACUUCCUUGGAGAGUCUUAGCUAAAAUCUCAGCCCCAUUCCUCCAAUUUCACCAUGGUUUAACAUUUUCAGUUUCUGUGGGGUAACUUUAAACCAGCAGUGUCUUUAGUUUUAACCUGGAUAAUUAGGGGAAAACUUCUGCAUGUGCACCACCCCCAGGGUUAAGUUCACACUUCUGUGAAGCCACUGACAGAAAUGAAAAAUAAUAACAAUACCUAGGAGAAAACUGAACAGAAAAUGGAAAGGCAGAUUAUUGCAAGUAAACCAUAUCCCAGCUCAAUAUCUGAGCACCUCCACUAAGGAGGAAGUGCACAUGCUUCUGAUUAUCUUUUUUGGAUGUCAUGCUAGAGCCUUAUCCAGACAGGAUAGGGUGCACUGUGCCUUCACCUUAAGAGUCUACAUAUACCAAAAGAGUUACUACAACACUCUAGAUCUGACAGUGCUGUGUGUUAGCCACAAGUAUGACACUUAUACACACAAGCACGUGGUUUAGAGGUGAAGCUUGCACUAUGUCUGGAUGGGGGCAAAUUUAUUGUAUUCAGACUCCAUCUGCAGCCUUCAGUCAUGGUUACCUGGUUGGGAUUUGCCUUGAAGCACCGCAGAGUCACUCCUCUGCUAAACAGACUGACUCCUCUUCUUGAGAUGACUUUGUAACUGGCAUAGAGGGUCAGAAUCAUAAAAGCUGCAUAACCUGGAUAUUCCCCAAAAGGCAACCAUGCAUGAUCCAGAUAGUAUGUUUAAGGGGCUGCUAAUUGAAGGGACAAAUCUUUGGCAGGGAUUAAUUAGCACACCUCAGCCUGCAACAACUCAUGAGCAGAGGUCCAUGCCUCGUAAUUUUUGUUUUUAAUUCAGACAGCUUUGCUCCUUACAGUAUCUACUAAAUAUAAAGAAGCAGGGUGAACUAUUUUUACUUGAUAUACCUUACUACAUUUUAAAUAAUCAGGAAGGAAAAAUGCAGACCAAUCUUUUUUUUAUGGUUCUCUAUUCACAGAAUCCUAGAAUCACAUGGGUUGGGAUAGAAGGGACUUCAAAGACCAUCCAAUUUUAACCCCCUGCUGUGGGCUGGUUGCCACCCACCAAAUCAGCCUGCCCAGGGCUCCAUCCAGCCUGGCCUUAAGCAGUUCUUGUUCCAAUUGUACUCCACAUGCAUGCUCUAAGCAGUACAUUAAAUGCAGCCAAAGAAAAGCACAUCUAUUCCCACCCCUCCAAGAAAAAGUUGAUAACACACAGCAGGUCUUCAGAGCUUGGGGGAUUUAAACAAUCUUUGCUCCACACAUUUUAACAGAUAUGAAAACCACAACUUACUCCACUUUGAAGUAGUAAGAUUAGAAGAGGCUCAGCUAAGUCCUUAUGUUUCUAACCAAUCAGUACAAAGUCUGGCUUAGUCUUUCUCCAAUUUGUUUUGAAGCCCAUUUCAUUUUUUCCUCCACCCCAAAGAAAAUACUUCAGCACUGGGCUUUCCAACAAACAACAGCUGAGAUGCUGUGAACAGAGCCCUUGCUGUAAUAAACACUUUCACAUGAAGAGCAGAGGAAAACUGCAUUGCAGAACAGAUUGUGGAUACUGUUUUUCAAA
Coturnix japonica (Japanese quail) is the source of this 39991-nucleotide non-coding RNA. The record is from RefSeq and is a predicted model, not a curated record. Lineage: Eukaryota; Metazoa; Chordata; Aves; Galliformes; Phasianidae.